RNAcentral lists this long non-coding RNA (468 nucleotides) under Trifolium pratense (red clover). RNAcentral's name for it is "long non-coding RNA (TPRA_LNC003620)". Lineage: Eukaryota; Viridiplantae; Streptophyta; Magnoliopsida; Fabales; Fabaceae. The record is from RNAcentral.
AAAACCCCACAAUUAAAAUAAAUGGAAUGAAAAAGGGUUAGUCUGACGUAUGGCUUUCUUCCCCGAAUAAUUCGAGACCCUGACGUAUGGCUCGUGACUCGAAUUAUUCUCAUUCUUAUCUUUUUCCUAAACAAUCACGAUUAAGCAAAGUUGACCGGUUGACAAAAGCUUCAGUCCAUGCAUAUGUUUAUUGUUAUAUUAUGUCUGCUUGGCUUGUUUUUUGUUUAUCUUGCUUAAACUUAUCAAAUCAAAUCAUAAUUGGAAUGAAAAAGGGUUAGUCUGACGUAUGGCUUUCUCUCCCCGAAUGAUUCGAGACCCUGACGUAUGGCUCGUGACUCGAAUCAUUCUCAUUCCCCAACGCUAAAAAACAUUAAAACACUUCAUCAUCCGCUUUAUCUUUCCUUUUGAUUUUCUUAAAUCAAAUAAAAGAACUUAAGCAUAAUUAGAGUGAAAAGGGGUUAGUCUGAC